GCCCGGUUAGCUCAGUCGGUAGAGCGUGGGACUUUUAAUCCUAAGGUCGAGGGUUCGAGCCCCUUACCGGGCG
RNAcentral lists this transfer RNA (73 nucleotides) under Frankliniella occidentalis (western flower thrips). It matches the Rfam family "tRNA". Rfam says of the family: Transfer RNA (tRNA) molecules are approximately 80 nucleotides in length. Their secondary structure includes four short double-helical elements and three loops (D, anti-codon, and T loops). The record is from Rfam by way of RNAcentral. Lineage: Eukaryota; Metazoa; Arthropoda; Insecta; Thysanoptera; Thripidae. RNAcentral also lists the same sequence under 1 other name.